Molecule: transfer RNA, 84 nt
Filed under: Aureobasidium subglaciale EXF-2481
Lineage: Eukaryota; Fungi; Ascomycota; Dothideomycetes; Dothideales; Saccotheciaceae
Rfam family: tRNA
About the family: Transfer RNA (tRNA) molecules are approximately 80 nucleotides in length. Their secondary structure includes four short double-helical elements and three loops (D, anti-codon, and T loops). Further hydrogen bonds mediate the characteristic L-shaped molecular structure. tRNAs have two regions of fundamental functional importance: the anti-codon, which is responsible for specific mRNA codon recognition, and the 3' end, to which the tRNAs corresponding amino acid is attached (by aminoacyl-tRNA synthetases). tRNAs cope with the degeneracy of the genetic code in two manners: having more than one tRNA (with a specific anti-codon) for a particular amino acid; and 'wobble' base-pairing, i.e. permitting non-standard base-pairing at the 3rd anti-codon position.
Source: Rfam by way of RNAcentral
GCUGCUGUAGCUCAGUGGUAGAGCGUGGGAUUGCAGUCAUCUGCAAUUAUCCUAAGGUCCGUUGUUCGACCCAGCGUAGCAGCU